This 368-nucleotide ribosomal RNA is filed under the name uncultured organism. RNAcentral's name for it is "bacterial SSU rRNA". It matches the Rfam family "Bacterial small subunit ribosomal RNA", at positions 526 to 896 of the family's 1533-position model. The record is from RNAcentral.
CGGAGGGUGCAAGCGUUGUCCGGAUUUAUUGGGUUUAAAGGGUGCGUAGGCGGCUUUUUAAGUCAGCGGUGAAAGACAACAGCUUAACUGUUGCAGUGCCAUUGAUACUGAAGAGCUUGAGUACAGAUGAGGUAGGCGGAAUUUAUGGUGUAGCGGUGAAAUGCAUAGAUACCAUAAAGAACACCUAUUGCGAAGGCAGCUUACUAAGCUGUAACUGACGCUGAGGCACGAAAGUGUGGGGAUCAAACAGGAUUAGAUACCCUGGUAGUCCACACUGUAAACGAUGAUCACUCGAUGUGUGCGAUAGACAGUACGCGUCCAAGCGAAAGCGUUAAGUGAUCCACCUGGGGAGUACGCUCGCAAGAGUG